UAUUAUUUUCGCGCUGUUACACGCUUAUCAACAUUCUACAAGACUUUAUAAAGGUGUAUAUAAAAGCGUUCAUAGCGAGGGCAUUCGAGGUGACUACAAAAGCAGCACACUCCGUGAUCAUCCCAAGCUACAGGUUGUGCACAGGUGUAAGAAAGGGAGGAUGAACGAUCCAGGCGUGCACAUACCUCUAGAGGAGGCCAGCAACAACCCUUCACGAGGUUCAUGUUUCAUUAAUGAUCCUUCCGCAGGUUCACCUACGGAAA
This 263-nucleotide unclassified non-coding RNA is filed under the name uncultured fungus. RNAcentral's name for it is "sequence contains ITS1". The record is from RNAcentral. Lineage: Eukaryota; Fungi.